GACGAACGCUGGCGGCGUGCUUAACACAUGCAAGUCGAACGGAAAGGCCCUGCUUUUGUGGGGUGCUCGAGUGGCGAACGGGUGAGUAACACGUGAGUAACCUGACCUUGACUUUGGGAUAACUUCAGGAAACUGGGGCUAAUACCGGAUAGGAGCUCCUGCUGCAUGGUGGGGGUUGGAAAGUUUCGGCGGUUGGGGAUGGACUCGCGGCUUAUCAGCUUGUUGGUGGGGUAGUGGCUUACCAAGGCAUUGACGGGUAGCCGGCCUGAGAGGGUGACCGGCCACAUGGGUACUGAGAUACGGCCCAGAGUCCUACGGUAGGCAGCAGUGGGGAAUAUUGCACAAUGGGCGGAAGCCUGAUGCAGCAACGCCGCGUGCGGGAUGACGGCCUUCUGGGUGUAAACCGCUUUCGCCUGUGACGAAGCGUGAGUGACGGUAAUGGGUAAAGAAGCACCGGCUAACUACGUG
RNAcentral lists this ribosomal RNA (468 nucleotides) under uncultured bacterium. Its description in RNAcentral is "partial 16S ribosomal RNA". It matches the Rfam family "Bacterial small subunit ribosomal RNA", at positions 28 to 507 of the family's 1533-position model. The record is from RNAcentral.